AAUCGGUGUCUCUGUUUUUUGACUCAAUCUAUUAUUUAACCUGUUACCUAAACAAUCGAAAAUUCUGACAAGAACCACAUGCUAUUUGGCAGAGCAGAACAUAACAAACACAGUAAUCCAAUCAGAGGCCCGGUAUUAAAAUGGCGAGGAGAGGGUCACACUAAAACAAAGCAUCUGAUUGGCUUGGGGCGUGUUUUAGAUGUAUUAGCUCUUAAAACUGGAGACAGACAGAGGUGCAAAAAUAAAGCGAUUGUAAGACAUGGGAGGAGACUAGCUCCUCAAAGCCAGCUUUUCUCUGGCAAGGGAAAAGAGACGGAAAACAAAGCGGGAAUUUAAGAGCUUGCAGUGUGUGUAAAAAUCACACGAAACGCUCAGAUGACAAGGGAGACUGUAAUAUCGAGUGGGGCUUGCUGUACGUCAGAAGGGAAGUAACGAAAGCUUACCGCCACAACAGCUUGUUUUGUUUUGGUUCUAAGGGGAAUUCUUCCUCGUUGCGAACAUAUGAACCCUCCCUCCAAAUUAGCGCGCACGUGGACAUAUGUUACAUUUGAUACUAGACACAGAACCUCUUCUGGAUAUUAAUUUUAUUUGAAAAUAAAUAUUUUACACAUCAUG
This is a long non-coding RNA of Nematostella vectensis (starlet sea anemone), 615 nucleotides long. RefSeq lists it as uncharacterized. Lineage: Eukaryota; Metazoa; Cnidaria; Anthozoa; Actiniaria; Edwardsiidae. The transcript has 2 exons. The record is from RefSeq and is a predicted model, not a curated record.